Canis lupus familiaris (dog) is the source of this 1869-nucleotide long non-coding RNA. RefSeq lists it as uncharacterized. The transcript has 3 exons. NCBI's taxonomy places the organism in Eukaryota, Metazoa, Chordata, Mammalia, Carnivora, Canidae. The record is from RefSeq and is a predicted model, not a curated record.
UGAAUCUCUGCAAGGUCAGCAGGCAACCUAAGCAGGUGCUCAGGACAUUAGCAAUGCAGGAUUGUUCCUGGCUGAAAUGUUACCAUGAAGCUCCAUCCCUUUCAGAAGCCUCUGAAGGAGUUGCUCACGGACAGAAAAGCCUGCCAGAGGUCAACCCAACACUCACCUACAAUGCCAUUACCCAUCAGCCUCUGCACGUAUUCUUUUAAAAAAAUUCUUCCCCCUAAAAUUUAGGGUUGGCUGAGGAGAAGAAUCCGCUUGUACAUAAUGGCAGCCCAGCCUAGAGAAAACGCAGGUUGCAGAAAUCUGGAGGAAGUUUUUACCAAGAGUUCCCUGCUGCAGAGGCUGUGGAAGGCAUUUGGGCUUCUUGGGGAGGAGAGUUCACAGGGCUGAGCCUGUGCGAAACCUUACUUGGAAGCCAAACACAGGUUCUAACUUGACCCGUCUACUAUGCCUUCCCAGGCUGACAGGGUUCAACUUGGAGUUGUCCAGCCAUGAUCUCUUUCAUACCUGUUGCUUCCUUCCGUGGACCUGUCCUGUAUCUUCCCCCUUAGCUGUCCUUUUGUAGCAGUCUGGGGGUGGUCCUGUGGCUCUACAGCACCAGGGGGGACUGCUGAGACCACACUGUAAAUUGCGGUGUAAAUUGGAAUGGAGAAAUUCUUCCCUGUGGGGAGCUGAGCCCAGCCAGAUCGCUACCCCCACCCCACCCUCCCUCCAUGGCUUCCUGCCCUUUAGCCCUGGCGUUUAGAAAGCUAGCCUCUGGGUUCAGAACUCCCCACCAGAGAAAGGUUCUCUAUGCCUUCUCGAUAGUUCAGUGUUUACAUCAAGGCCUAGAGCAUUGGUUCUCAAAACGUGAGCAGGCAUUAGAAUCAUCUGGGGAGGAUUGCUGGGCCGCACCCCACUCGUUCCUAGUUCAGUUAAGUCUAGGACAGGGAUUGUAAAUUUUUAUGUCCAAUGAAUUCUCAGGUGCUACUGCAGCAGCUGGCCCGGGACCACAUGGUGUGAUCUGCUGGUCUAGAAACAAGUUUCCCAGUGGCCCAGCUUCUGGAGAUCUGAGCACUGUCCCCAGAUGGGUGGCUUGGUAAAAGCCUCAGAGCAGAAGCUGUCAAGAGGGCUGAGAUGACUUCUAGGAUGAUCCUACUCCUGGAGAGACUUAGUCUCCAGGACUGUCGGUCUCCUCUGGGGUUUUUCUACUUGCCUCUAAUAAAACUAAAGUUAAUAACAAACCCUUGCUGAUAUCUUUAAAUUCUGCUGGGAAGUAACAUUUUACUAGUGAUCCUUAGUGAAAGCAAAGUCAUGGCAGUAUUUCCUGCUCAGCAGAGCAGGGUUUGGCUUUUGUGGUGUCUCCACACAGUGGGCCUGGGUGCAGGAAGACUCUAGCCGCUGCUCACUGAUGGGUGCCUUCGUCCUUCCAAAGAUGACAGCGUCUGCCUUCAUUUGGAGGUGGCAGAGGAGCGUGCCAGGAGAGGAUCAGAAGAGGUGGUAGGGACUGGGUUCCUGUUUGUGCUUGCAGUGAGUGCCUGGCCCAGCCUCCUGACAGUGAAUCAGCCUGUCCAAGGCUUGGCAGUCAGCGGUGAGCCAGGGUUACCAUGGAGAUGGGUGAGGCCCAAGCCCACAGGUCUGGGUGGCCUGACUUGUUUUUAAAUGUUGAAGCCUGCGUGAACAUAGAGGCCCUUAUCUCCACUUCUGAGGCUUUCUUAAAACGUGACUGGUAUUUUGGGGCCCAGAAAAUGUUGGUAGGGGAAACUCACAUCCUUGCUAUUGGGUCUGUUACUGACUUCUGGGUGCCACCUGGGUGCCUACAGGUCUCCCAAGCUUGGUACCUUUUACAAAAGAUUUUUAUCUUUUUAUCUUUUAUAAGGGACUUCU